This 492-nucleotide ribosomal RNA is filed under the name uncultured bacterium. RNAcentral's name for it is "partial 16S ribosomal RNA". It matches the Rfam family "Bacterial small subunit ribosomal RNA", at positions 28 to 507 of the family's 1533-position model. The record is from RNAcentral.
GGUGAACGCUGGCGGUAGGCCUAACACAUGCAAGUCGAACGGCAGCACAGUAAGAGCUUGCUCUUACGGGUGGCGAGUGGCGGACGGGUGAGGAAUACAUCGGAAUCUACUUUUUCGUGGGGGAUAACGUAGGGAAACGUACGCUAAUACCGCAUACGACCUACGGGUGAAAGCAGGGGAUCUUCGGACCUUGCGCGAUUGAAUGAGCCGAUGUCGGAUUAGCUAGUUGGCGGGGUAAAGGCCCACCAAGGCGACGAUCCGUAGCUGGUCUGAGAGGAUGAUCCGCCACACUGGAACUGAGACACGGUCCAGACUCCUACGGGAGGCAGCAGUGGGGAAUAUUGGACAAUGGGCGCAAGCCUGAUCCAGCCAUACCGCGUGGGUGAAGAAGGCCUUCGGGUUGUAAAGCCCUUUUGUUGGGAAAGAAAAGCAGCAGGUUAAUACCCCGCUGUUCUGACGGUACCCAAAGAAUAAGCACCGGCUAACUUCGUG